ACGAACGCUGGCGGCGUGCUUAACACAUGCAAGUCGAACGGAAAGGCCCUGCUUUUGUGGGGUGCUCGAGUGGCGAACGGGUGAGUAACACGUGAGUAACCUGCCCUUGACUUUGGGAUAACUUCAGGAAACUGGGGCUAAUACCGGAUAGGAGCUCCUGCUGCAUGGUGGGGGUUGGAAAGUUUCGGCGGUUGGGGAUGGACUCGCGGCUUAUCAGCUUGUUGGUGGGGUAGUGGCUUACCAAGGCUUUGACGGGUAGCCGGCCUGAGAGGGUGACCGGCCACAUUGGGACUGAGAUACGGACCAGACUCCAACGGGAGGCAGCAGUGGGGAAUAUUGCACAAUGGGCGGAAGCCUGAUGCAGCAACGCCGCGUGCGGGAUGACGGCCUUCGGGUUGUAAACCGCUUUCGCCUGUGACGAAGCGUGAGUGACGGUAAUGGGUAAAGAAGCACCGGCUAACUACGUG
RNAcentral lists this ribosomal RNA (467 nucleotides) under uncultured bacterium. RNAcentral describes it as "partial 16S ribosomal RNA". It matches the Rfam family "Bacterial small subunit ribosomal RNA", at positions 29 to 507 of the family's 1533-position model. The record is from RNAcentral.